This 431-nucleotide long non-coding RNA is filed under the name Equus asinus (donkey). Its description in RNAcentral is "lncRNA (ENSEASG00005037074.1)". Lineage: Eukaryota; Metazoa; Chordata; Mammalia; Perissodactyla; Equidae. The record is from RNAcentral.
GUCCUAUUAAGAAAUUUGGUACCUGUUGUCAGUCCUCCCUGGCAGCACAUCCUUCUUCUCUCCUUCUGAAUUACAUGAAUUUAAACCAGAGGACGACAUAUCCUUUUUGGAAUAAACCUUUUGGAGCGCAGUGUUCUUGGGGAGAUCCGAUGAGCGCUCAGGAAACAUCAUACGGUGGAAAGAAGAGGGAAUGUGAAAGAGCUGAGCUCAAAUCCCCACUCCGUCACCAGUAGUUGUGUGAACUUGGCUACUAGAACAUUUAAAGAUACAUCUGUGGCUCAAAUUGUAUUUCUAUUGAAUGGUGCUGGUCUACACACAACAUUGGAAAGGAAUGGGGGCAAUUCUUACUAGAAUUUCUCCUUUACUCUAUUUCUUCUAUAGGUUUGAAAUGGGCCUUUACACAUACAUGGCUUUCCUAACCUCCAAAGAAG